UGUCUUCAAAGUAAAUGUGGAGUUUGUAUGUUUAAUGGUUCAGUCCGUAACCUACACGCUGCUUGGCAGGCAACAGUGUCUCUUGCCUUCAGCCUAUAAUGUGAGCUCGUAAAAAAAAAAAGAGAGGGAAAAAAAAAAUCCCUCUCUUAUCGAUUCUGCCUCCAACAUAGCAACUGCUCGCCGAUUGGCCGACGCUCCGCACGUUCCCGUCCUCCCAUUGGCUGCUCGCGUAGCGUGGAGACGGUGGAAUCGGACGGAGACAGUGGGGAGGAGAGAUGUGAUUGGCUGCGGCUAAACUGAAAGCGAAAACCUCUUUUUCUGAAAGCCUGCGAGACAGUUGAUGGUGUGUGUAUUUUAGGCGUGACUCCAAAGGUAAUUCGUCCUGCUGCACCCCCACCACCACCACCAACACCCCUCCCUGCCAGGACUUAUUUAAAUUGAGAACUAUAAAGCAGAAAUGGCUGAAUUUGAACGACGAGAGAGAAGAGAAAGCAGAGGAAAGUAUGUAUUGUGUCCUCCAGUACCCUCGCUGCCUCCCAUCUCUGCUGACCCAAGGAUAAGCUCAUCGGACGAUAGUGGCUCCACCAGAGACAGAUGUGUGCUGCUAUUCACGGCCAUUGAAGGGAUGCAUAAUGGUCUUGGCAGGGCGUUCGACAUUCACCAUGGAGAGACUGUGGGGUUUCCCUGAUCGGCGGCCAGAACCAGCACACAAAGCACGCAGUAGUCCUGCCAGAGGCAACUCAACUGUGGGCAGAGUGUAGGGCGGCUAUGGUCUGGCCCCCAGGACCCUGCCAUUGUGGAAAUCACCCGGUGGUCAUACCCACCACUCAUCAUCUGUCACUCCAUUCUACCAGAGCCUAAUCUUACUAACAGAGGUGACAACUGAGGUACUCGUGGCAUGCCACCGCAUAACGUUUACCAGCUGAGUGUCUGAGUAAUGCCGAGGAUGAUGAUCCUGCGGUAUCAGCGGCCUCUGUCUCUCCAGAGGCCUUCUGCACCUCUCUCCCUAAGUGGUGCACCAAAUAAAGGCCUGACCAUGAUGAGUGUAAGCCGAAUAGAAGCUGUCAGUUUUUCAGGCCUUGUUUCAGUCCGUAUAGAUCACAGUAGGUCACAGAGCUGCUACUAAGAAUUAUUUUCACAGUCAAAGAAUCUUUUGGUCAUGAAUUUUGAUUUGUUUUCGAUGCUCAUCACAGUUCCAGAGCCCAAAAUGGGAUCUUUACGUUGUUUGUUUUUUCUAACCAACAGUCUAAAGCCAAAUCAUAUUCAAGUUGUGGUGAUAUAAAACAGAAAAAAAUACACGUUUGCUUGGUAAAUAACUUUCUUUUAGGACUAGUCAUAAGUACAUGCUUGAUCUAAAAACAAAGACUGUGUUUUCUCUGAUUGAGUCAGCCCACCUGCUCAUUAAAAUCUAGUGUUGGACGAUGUAUAUCAGGCCAGAUAAAUAAUCUUUGUAAUAAUAAUAAUCUUUUAAAAUAAGGAUCUUUUAUAUUAUUAUGUCAUGUUAUUAUUUUGAUAAUUUAUUGGUCAGUAAUAAUAAUACUGAUUUAUUUUGAAGUCUUAUGCCAAACGUUUGACAGGCUUCAUGUUCUAUGAAAACCAAAGUAUGUUUGUAAGGUUUUGUGAUGCACAGAAAUAAAAUAAUAAA
This is a long non-coding RNA of Larimichthys crocea (large yellow croaker), 1645 nucleotides long. RefSeq lists it as uncharacterized. The record is from RefSeq and is a predicted model, not a curated record. The transcript is spliced from 4 exons. Lineage: Eukaryota; Metazoa; Chordata; Actinopteri; Sciaenidae.